RNAcentral lists this transfer RNA (79 nucleotides) under candidate division SR1 bacterium. Its description in RNAcentral is "tRNA-Val". It matches the Rfam family "tRNA". Rfam says of the family: Transfer RNA (tRNA) molecules are approximately 80 nucleotides in length. The record is from RNAcentral. Lineage: Bacteria; Candidatus Absconditibacteriota.
GGGUGAUUAGAGCUCAGUUGGCUAGAGCAUCUGCCUUACAAGCAGGGGGUCACAAGUUCGAGUCUUGUAUCACCCACCA